GUGGGGAAUUUUGGACAAUGGGCGCAAGCCUGAUCCAGCAAUGCCGCGUGUGUGAAGAAGGCCUUCGGGUUGUAAACUGCUUUUGUACGGAACGAAACGGUCCGGGUUAAUACCCUGGGCUAAUGACGGUACCGUAAGAAUAAGCACCGGCUAACUACGUGCCAGCAGCCGCGGUAAUACGUAGGGUGCAAGCGUUAAUCGGAAUUACUGGGCGUAAAGCGUGCGCAGGCGGUUUUGUAAGACAGGCGUGAAAUCCCCGGGCUCAACCUGGGAAUUGCGCUUGGGACUGCAAGGCUGGAGUGCGGCAGAGGGGGAUGGAAUUCCGCGUGUAGCAGUGAAAUGCGUAGAUAUGCGGAGGAACACCGAUGGCGAAGGCAAUCCCCUGGGCCUGCACUGACGCUCAUGCACGAAAGCGUGGGGAGCAAACAGGAUUAGAUACCCGAGUAGUCC
RNAcentral lists this ribosomal RNA (450 nucleotides) under uncultured bacterium. RNAcentral's name for it is "partial 16S ribosomal RNA". It matches the Rfam family "Bacterial small subunit ribosomal RNA", at positions 354 to 796 of the family's 1533-position model. The record is from RNAcentral.